RNAcentral lists this long non-coding RNA (374 nucleotides) under Ananas comosus (pineapple). RNAcentral's name for it is "long non-coding RNA (ACOM_LNC034418)". Lineage: Eukaryota; Viridiplantae; Streptophyta; Magnoliopsida; Poales; Bromeliaceae. The record is from RNAcentral.
CGCUACUGGCUUCGAGUGGGGCGUACGUGCGGACAGGGCUAAGCACCGUAGCUUUACAACUCCAGCUAAAAAUGGAGGAAGAGACCGUCAGGAUGGCCGCACGACAUGAGUUCGCCAAAAAAUGGGAGAAUAUAUGAUAGAAGAAGAGAAAUAGAGAGAAAGUAGAGACAAAGAAAAGAGGAGGGAGCUAGUAGAAUCCAGUUUCUUAGAAGAAUCCGGCUUCGUGCUCUCUUUCUCUGCCUCUCACUAUCUCUCUGUUUCUCGCACAGCACAGCUCACUCUCACUCUCGCUCUCUCUCGCGCCGCCCUCGCCUCUCUCUCGCUCGAGCUUUCCUCUCUCUCUCUCUCUCUCGCUCACAGGCCUCUCUCUCUCU